GAUGAACGCUGGCGGCGUGCCUAAUACAUGCAAGUCGAGCGAACGGACGAGAAGCUUGCUUCUCUGAUGUUAGCGGCGGACGGGUGAGUAACACGUGGAUAACCUACCUAUAAGACUGGGAUAACUUCGGGAAACCGGAGCUAAUACCAGAUGAUAUUUUGAACCGCAUGGUUCAAAAGUGAAAGACGGUCUUGCUGUCACUUAUAGAUGGAUCCGCGCUGCAUUAGCUAGUUGGUAAGGUAACGGCUUACCAAGGCAACGAUGCAUAGCCGACCUGAGAGGGUGAUCGGCCACACUGGAACUGAGACACGGUCCAGACUCCUACGGGAGGCAGCAGUAGGGAAUCUUCCGCAAUGGGCGAAAGCCUGACGGAGCAACGCCGCGUGAGUGAUGAAGGUCUUCGGAUCGUAAAACUCUGUUAUUAGGGAAGAACAUAUGUGUAAGUAACUGUGCACAUCUUGACGGUACCUAAUCAGAAAGCCACGGCUAACUACGUG
Molecule: ribosomal RNA, 497 nt
Filed under: uncultured bacterium
Lineage: Bacteria
Description: partial 16S ribosomal RNA
Rfam family: Bacterial small subunit ribosomal RNA
Source: RNAcentral